RNAcentral lists this ribosomal RNA (380 nucleotides) under uncultured soil bacterium. RNAcentral's name for it is "bacterial SSU rRNA". It matches the Rfam family "Bacterial small subunit ribosomal RNA", at positions 26 to 429 of the family's 1533-position model. The record is from RNAcentral.
AGAACGAACGCUGGCGGCAGGCCUAACACAUGCAAGUCGAACGCUCGUAGCAAUACGGGAGUGGCGCACGGGUGAGUAACGCGUGGGCACCUGCCCGGUGGUUUGGGAUAACCGUGGGAAACUGCGGCUAAUACCGGGUACGCCCUAGGGGGAAAGAUUUAUCGCCAUCGGAUGGGCCCGCGUAGGAUUAGCUAGUUGGUGAGGUAACGGCUCACCAAGGCGACGAUCCUUAGCUGGUCUGAGAGGAUGAUCAGCCACACUGGGACUGAGACACGGCCCAGACUCCUACGGGAGGCAGCAGUGGGGAAUAUUGGACAAUGGGGGCAACCCGUGACUCCAGCCGAUGCCGCGUGGAGUGGAAGAGGCUUCGGGUUAGUAAA